This 506-nucleotide ribosomal RNA is filed under the name uncultured bacterium. Its description in RNAcentral is "partial 16S ribosomal RNA". It matches the Rfam family "Bacterial small subunit ribosomal RNA", at positions 30 to 523 of the family's 1533-position model. The record is from RNAcentral.
AUUGGACGCUGGCGGCAGGCUUAACACAUGCAAGUCGAGCGGUAACAGAGAGAAGCUUGCUUCUCUGCUGACGAGCGGCGGACGGGUGAGUAAUGCCUAGGAAUCUGCCUAGUAGUGGGGGAUAACUUGCCGAAAGGUAAGCUAAUACCGCAUACGUCCUACGGGAGAAAGGAGGGGACCUUCGGGCCUUUCGCUAUUAGAUGAGCCUAGGUCGGAUUAGUUAGUUGGUGAGGUAAUGGCUCACCAAGACCGCGAUCCGUAACUGGUCUGAGAGGAUGAUCAGUCACACUGGAACUGAGACACGGUCCAGACUCCUACGGGAGGCCGCAGUGGGGAAUAUUGGACAAUGGGGGGAACCCUGAUCCAGCCAUGCCGCGUGUGUGAAGAAGGCCUUAGGAUUGUAAAGCACUUUAAGUUGGGAGGAAGAGCAGUUAACUAAUAUUUGACUGUUUUGACGUUACCGACAGAAUAAGCACCGGCUAACUUCGUGCCAGCCGCCACCGUAA